CAGGCCUAACACAUGCAAGUCGAGCGGCAGCGACAACAUUGAUCCUUCGGAUGAUUUGUUUGGGCGGCGAGCGGCGGACGGGUGAGUAAUGGCUGGGAACCUGCCUGGUAGAGGGGGAUAACCACUGGAAACGGUGGCUAAUACCGCAUGAUGUCUACGGACCAAAGAGGGGGACCUUCGGGCCUCUCGCUACCGGAUGGGCCCAGUUGGGAUUAGCUAGUUGGUGGGGUAAAGGCUCACCAAGGCGACGAUCCCUAGCUGGUUUGAGAGGAUGAUCACCCACACUGGAACU
This 292-nucleotide ribosomal RNA is filed under the name bacterium WP2ISO33. Its description in RNAcentral is "partial 16S ribosomal RNA". It matches the Rfam family "Bacterial small subunit ribosomal RNA", at positions 43 to 320 of the family's 1533-position model. The record is from RNAcentral.